AAAUGGUAGAACCGGGGUAAGCGUGUAGGAGGAGGACCAGGUAAAUCCGGGCCUCAUAAACUCUGAGACGUGAUACCGAGCCGCUUCAGGCGAAGUCAUUGAUCCUAUGCUGCCUAGAAAAGCCCAGCAGCGAGUUGACAUGGUGCCCGUACCCCAAACCAACACAGGUGGACAGGUAGAGCAUACCAAGGCGAGUGGGAUAACUAUGGUUAAGGAACUCGGCAAAUUGCCUCCGUAACUUCGGGAGAAGGAGGACCCCAGUAGCGUGAUGAGACUCGCUCUCUGAGCGUGAAGGGGUGGCACAAAAUUGAGGGAGGCGACUGUUUACCAAAAACACAGCAGCGUGCUAAGCCGUAAGGCGCUGUAUACGCUGUGACUCCUGCCCGGUGCUGGAAGGUUACGGGGAUGGGUUAGUCCUUCGGGACGAAGCUCUGAACCUAAGCCCCAGUAAACGGCGGCCGUAACUAUAACGGUCCUAAGGUAGCGAAAUUCCUUGUCGGGUAAGUUCCGACCUGCACGAAUGGAGUAACGACUUCCCUACUGUCUCAACCAUAGACCCAGCGAAAUUGAAGUACGAGUAAAGAUGCUCGUUAGCUGCAGAAGGACGGAAAGACCCCGUGGACCUUUACUAUAACUUGAUGUUGUGUUUUGCCAUAUGUUGUGUAGGAUAGGUGGGAGACUUGGAAGCAUGGACGCUAGUCUGUGUGGAGUCAUCGUUGAAAUACCACCCUGCAUAUGGUGAGGCUCUAACCUAGACCCGUUAUCCGGGUUGGGGACAGCGUCAGGCGGGUAGUUUAACUGGGGCGGUUGCCUCCUAAAGAGUAACGGAGGCGCCCAAAGGUUCCCUCAGCCUGGUUGGCAAUCAGGCGUUGAGUGCAAUGGCAAAAGGGAGCUUGACUGCGAGACCUACAAGUCGAGCAGGAGCGAAAGCUGGGCAUAGUGAUCCGGCGGUUGCGUGUGGAAGCGCCGUCGCUCAACGGAUAAAAGGUACCCCGGGGAUAACAGGCUAAUCUUGCCCAAGCGUCCAUAGCGACGGCAAGGUUUGGCACCUCGAUGUCGGCUCAUCGCAUCCUGGGGCUGAAGCAGGUCCCAAGGGUUGGGCUGUUCGCCCAUUAAAGCGGUACGCGAGCUGGGUUCAGAACGUCGUGAGACAGUUCGGUCCCUAUCCUCUGCAGCCGGAGGUGAAUUGAGGAAAGCUGUCCCUAGUACGAGAGGACCGGGACGGACGCAGCUCUCGUGUGCCAGUUGUCCUGCCAAGGGCAUGGCUGGUUAGCGACCUGCGGAAAGGAUAACCGCUGAAAGCAUCUAAGCGGGAAGCCUCUUCCAAGAUGAAUUCACCCACAGGGUUAACCUGGUAAGGCCCGUGGUAGACCACCACGUUGAUAGGCCGGAAGUGUAAGCGUGGCAACACGUUCAGCUGACCGGUACUAAUCGGCCGAGGGCUCG
Molecule: ribosomal RNA, 1446 nt
Filed under: metagenome
Description: bacterial LSU rRNA
Rfam family: Bacterial large subunit ribosomal RNA
Source: RNAcentral